Molecule: ribosomal RNA, 446 nt
Filed under: uncultured prokaryote
Description: bacterial SSU rRNA
Rfam family: Bacterial small subunit ribosomal RNA
Source: RNAcentral
UCGAGAAUCUUCGGCAAUGGACGAAAGUCUGACCGAGCGACGCCGCGUGCGGGAUGAAGGCCUUCGGGUUGUAAACCGCUGUCAGAGGGGAUGAAAUGCUUGAGGGUUCUCCCUCCUGCUUGACAGAUCCUCAGAGGAAGUACGGGCUAAGUUCGUGCCAGCAGCCGCGGUAAGACGAACCGUACAAACGUUAUUCGGAAUCACUGGGCUUAAAGGGUGCGUAGGCGGUGUGGCAAGUUGGGUGUGAAAUCCCUCGGCUCAACCGAGGAACUGCGCUCAAAACUGCCAUGCUAGAGGGAGACAGAGGUGAGCGGAACUUAAGGUGGAGCGGUGAAAUGCGUUGAUAUCUUAAGGAACACCGGUGGCGAAAGCGGCUCACUGGGUCUCUUCUGACGCUGAGGCACGAAAGCUAGGGUAGCGAACGGGAUUAGAUACCCCCGUAGUCC